Molecule: ribosomal RNA, 735 nt
Filed under: Bacillus amyloliquefaciens
Lineage: Bacteria; Bacillati; Bacillota; Bacilli; Caryophanales; Bacillaceae
Description: bacterial SSU rRNA
Rfam family: Bacterial small subunit ribosomal RNA
Source: RNAcentral
AUACUGCAGUCGAGCGGACCGACGGGAGCUUGCUCCCUUAGGUCAGCGGCGGACGGGUGAGUAACACGUGGGUAACCUGCCUGUAAGACUGGGAUAACUCCGGGAAACCGGGGCUAAUACCGGAUGCUUGAUUGAACCGCAUGGUUCAAUCAUAAAAGGUGGCUUUUAGCUACCACUUGCAGAUGGACCCGCGGCGCAUUAGCUAGUUGGUGAGGUAACGGCUCACCAAGGCGACGAUGCGUAGCCGACCUGAGAGGGUGAUCGGCCACACUGGGACUGAGACACGGCCCAGACUCCUACGGGAGGCAGCAGUAGGGAAUCUUCCGCAAUGGACGAAAGUCUGACGGAGCAACGCCGCGUGAGUGAUGAAGGUUUUCGGAUCGUAAAACUCUGUUGUUAGGGAAGAACAAGUACCGUUCGAAUAGGGCGGUACCUUGACGGUACCUAACCAGAAAGCCACGGCUAACUACGUGCCAGCAGCCGCGGUAAUACGUAGGUGGCAAGCGUUGUCCGGAAUUAUUGGGCGUAAAGCGCGCGCAGGCGGUUUCUUAAGUCUGAUGUGAAAGCCCCCGGCUCAACCGGGGAGGGUCAUUGGAAACUGGGGAACUUGAGUGCAGAAGAGGAGAGUGGAAUUCCACGUGUAGCGGUGAAAUGCGUAGAGAUGUGGAGGAACACCAGUGGCGAAGGCGACUCUCUGGUCUGUAACUGACGCUGAGGCGCGAAAGCGUGGGGAGC